GGCGGAUGUAGCCAAGUGGAUCAAGGCAGUGGAUUGUGAUACUC
RNAcentral lists this transfer RNA (44 nucleotides) under Polygonatum cirrhifolium. RNAcentral describes it as "partial tRNA-His". The record is from RNAcentral. Lineage: Eukaryota; Viridiplantae; Streptophyta; Magnoliopsida; Asparagales; Asparagaceae.